RNAcentral lists this long non-coding RNA (208 nucleotides) under Ananas comosus (pineapple). RNAcentral's name for it is "long non-coding RNA (ACOM_LNC029288)". Lineage: Eukaryota; Viridiplantae; Streptophyta; Magnoliopsida; Poales; Bromeliaceae. The record is from RNAcentral.
GUAACUCCGUAGGAAACACGUUCGGAAACUCCCAAACUACCGACAACUCCUCGAGUGCCGGAAUUACUCGGUCCAUUUCCACAACGGUCGCCAAAUAAGCCACGCAACCGCUGUUAACCAACUUCCUUGCUCUCGUCGCAGAUACCGUCGCGGCGAAGUAUGAGCUCUUGCACGCUCGAUAUGUGAACUCCUCCUGUCUUGGCUCCGG